This 1006-nucleotide ribosomal RNA is filed under the name uncultured organism. RNAcentral describes it as "bacterial SSU rRNA". It matches the Rfam family "Bacterial small subunit ribosomal RNA", at positions 216 to 1242 of the family's 1533-position model. The record is from RNAcentral.
CGCGCCGGGAGGGGCCUGCGGCCCAUCAGGUAGUCGGUGUGGUAAUGGCGCACCGAGCCCAUGACGGGUACCUGGUCUUAGAAGACGAACAGGCCGACUUGGACUGUAGACACGCGCCAGAAUCCUAUACGGAGAGACCGGCGAGGAAUAUUCCGCGAUGUACGCGCGUCUGACAGAGCAAAGCCGCGUGUCGCAUAACAGACUCCGCGUUGUUAGACGGCUUUUGGGUGUGACACUAAUAACGGUGCCACCCGAGUAUAACCCGGGUAUAUCUGUGCCACAAGACGCGGUAUGACACAGGGGGCAAACGUUUUCCGCACUCACUGUGCGUAUAGGGUGUGCACGCGGUGCCGUGCGUCUGCGCUGAAAGCGCCCGCGUUAACCGCGCGAGAGUGCGCCGAUAUAACAGGGCUUUAGGCACAGUAUAGAGUUGGCGGAAAUCCGGGUGUAUUGGUGAAAUGCGGUUAGAUCCGGAGGAACGUCUCGUGGCGUAUGCGGCCCACUGUGGCUGUCCUGACGCUUUAGGCACGAAAAGCGUUGCGAGCGCAACCGGAUUAGAUAUCCCCGGUAGUCCACGCCGUAAACGCUGUCGGCUCGGUGUGUGGUCUCAUUACGGGACUGCGUGCCCCAGCUCACGCGGUAAGCCGACCGCCUGGGGACUACGGCCGCAAGGCUAAACAUCAAAGGAAUUGACGGGGGCCCGCACAAGCAGCGGAGCGUGUGGUUUAAUUCGACGCAACGCGAAGAACCUUACCCAGAUUUGACAUGCGACUGCAAGCGCACGGAAACGUGUGACCUGCGAGGGUGUCGCACAGGUGCUGCAUGGCUGUCGUCAGCUCGUGUCGUGAGAUGUUGGGUUAAGUCCCGCAACGAGCGCAACCCCCGCCGUCAGUUAUACGUGUCUGGCGGGACUGCCGGCUGUUUGGUCGGAGGAAGGCGGGGAUGACGUCAAGUCCGCAUGGCCCGUACGUCUGGGGCGACACACACGCUACAAUGGCCGGCACAG